RNAcentral lists this ribosomal RNA (245 nucleotides) under uncultured bacterium. RNAcentral's name for it is "partial 16S ribosomal RNA". It matches the Rfam family "Bacterial small subunit ribosomal RNA", at positions 524 to 766 of the family's 1533-position model. The record is from RNAcentral.
UACAGAGGGGGCAAGCGUUGUUCGGAAUUACUGGGCGUAAAGGGCGCGUAGGCGGCCCGCUAAGUCGAACGUGAAAUCCCCGGGCUCAACCCGGGAACUGCGUCCGAUACUGGUGGGCUUGAAUCCGGGAGAGGGAUGCGGAAUUCCAGGUGUAGCGGUGAAAUGCGUAGAUAUCGUGGAGGAACACCGGUGGCGAAGGCGGCAUCCUGGACCGGCAUUGACGCUGAGGCGCGAAAAGCCAGGGG